This 1652-nucleotide ribosomal RNA is filed under the name metagenome. RNAcentral's name for it is "bacterial SSU rRNA". It matches the Rfam family "Eukaryotic small subunit ribosomal RNA", at positions 362 to 1801 of the family's 1831-position model. The record is from RNAcentral.
ACAGAGAAUUGGGGUUCGAUUCUGGAGAGGCUGCCCGAGAAAUGGCAACCAUGAUUACGAUCAGCAGCAGGCGCGCAAAUUGCACAAUGCCAACACUGGUGAUGCAGCGACGAAAAAUAUUUUCCCACGUGCACUGUGUGCUGCGGAGAAAGAAAUGGAUUGUAUCUAAAAACACUACUGAGUAUCAAUUGGAGGGCAAGUCUGGUGCCAGCAGCCGCGGUAAUUCCAGCUCCAAUAGUGUAUAUCAAUGUUGUUGCGGUUAAAAAGCUCGUAGUUGGAUUCAGGAAUUGUGGUUGUGGACGGGCCACCUUGUCUGACCUUCGGGUUGGCUUGGUGGAGCAACCCUCCACAUUGGACCAUGAUCCUCGGCACACGGGAUAAGUUCGGUGGUUGAAGUCCUCUUUAUUGAGGGUGGAGACAUUUCCGGAGUUGAAACACUCCAUAAGCCGUGCCCGUGGUCGUUACUGUGAGUAAAGCAGACUGUUCAAAGGAGCCGACUCGUUCGGCCUGAAUGAUAAAGCAUGGAAUAACAAGGGAUCGACCAAUUUGGCCUCUUCUUUGUUGGUUUCUAAGCCACAUUGUGGUAACUCGGCGUGGAUGCCUUACAGAUGCUCUUGAUUCCCCUUGUGGGUUUCGGACUCUGUGGGCGCCACUGCUUUCGGGAUCAAUAGGGGCAGUUGGGGCCGUCAGUACUUCCUGGCGAGAGGUGAAAUUCUCAGACCCAGGAAAGACUCUCUACAGCGAAAGCAGUCGGCCAAUCUGCUUUCAUUAAUCAAGAACGAGAGUAAGGGGAUCGAAGAUGAUCAGAUACCGUCGUAGUCCUUGACCGUAAAUUAUGCUGACUUGGGAUUGGUCGCUGCUCUCUUAGUGACUCGAUCGGCACCCCCCUUUUUUGCGCGAAAGCUACAUAGUUUUUGAGUUCCGGGGGGAGUACAUUCGCAAGGCUGAAACUUAAAGGAAUUGACGGAAAAGCACCACCAGACGUGGAGUGUGUGGCUUAAUUUGACCCAACACGGGAAAUUUUACCAGGUCAGGACACUGGAAGGAUAGCCAGAUUGAGAGCUCUUGCUUGAUUCAUUGAAGGGUGGUGCAUGGCCGUUCUUGGUUGGUGGAGUGAUUUGUCUGCUUAAUUGCGUCAACGAACGAGAUCUUUGCCAAUAAAUAGAUUGCUGCUUCCGACUGUAGGUUUUGUAGGAAUGGUUCGGGGCAACUCGUCCGUCCUGCUGGCCGAGGAGGCACGGCUUUACUUAUUGGGAUUAUGCAUUUUUUUGAAUGCAUUGAGACGAGAGCCAAUAGCAGGUCUGUGAUGCUCCUUAUAUGUUCUGGGCCGCACGCGCACUUCACUGACUCAGACAACAAGCUUACCAUACUUGGUCCUGCCUCGAAGGGGGUGGGGAAUCUUAUGAGCCUGAGUCGUGCUGGGGAUAGAUGAUUGCAAUUAUUUGCCUUUAACGAGGAAUGUCUUGUAUGCCCAGGUCAUCAGCCUGGACAGAAUACGUCCCUGCUUUUUGUACACACCGCCCGUCGUUGCUACCGAUUGGUCUGCGCAUAGAGUAAUUUGGAGGUGCCUUCACGGUGGCUCUGCUGCCUGAAGUGCUGCCAAAAUUUGGCAAUAUUUGUUGACUAGAGGAAGCAAAAGUCGUAACAAGGUA